GACGAACGCUGGCGGCGUGCUUAACACAUGCAAGUCGAGCGGAAAGGCCCUUCGGGGUACUCGAGCGGCGAACGGGUGAGUAACACGUGAGUAACCUGCCCCAGACUUUGGGAUAACCCCCGGAAACGGGGGCUAAUACCGGAUACGACACAGCUUAGCAUGGGGUCUGUGUGGAAAGCUUUUCGGUUUGGGAUGGGCUCGCGGCCUAUCAGCUUGUUGGUGGGGUGAUGGCCUACCAAGGCGACGACGGCUAGCCGGCCUGAGAGGGCGACCGGCCACACGGGGACUGAGAGACGGCCCAGACUCCUACGGGAGGCAGCAGUGGGGAAUAUUGCACAGUGGGCGGAAGCGUGAUGCAGCGGCGCCGCGUGAGGGAUGACGUCCUUCGGGUUGUAAACCUCUUUCAGCAGGGACGAAGCGUAAGUGACGGUACCUGCAGAAGAAGCGCCGGCCAACUACGUG
This 462-nucleotide ribosomal RNA is filed under the name uncultured bacterium. RNAcentral's name for it is "partial 16S ribosomal RNA". It matches the Rfam family "Bacterial small subunit ribosomal RNA", at positions 28 to 507 of the family's 1533-position model. The record is from RNAcentral.